UACGUAGGGCGCAAGCGUUGUCCGGAAUCAUUGGGCGUAAAGAGCGUGUAGGCGGUUCGGUAAGUCGGCUGUGAAAGUCCAGGGCUCAACCCUGGGAUGCCGGUCGAUACUGCCGGACUAGAGUUCGGAAGAGGCGAGUGGAAUUCCCGGUGUAGCGGUGAAGUGCGCAGAUAUCGGGAGGAACACCUAUGGCGAAGGCAGCUCGCUGGGACGUUACUGACGCUGAGACGCGAAAGCGUGGGGAGCAAACAGG
RNAcentral lists this ribosomal RNA (253 nucleotides) under uncultured bacterium. Its description in RNAcentral is "partial 16S ribosomal RNA". It matches the Rfam family "Bacterial small subunit ribosomal RNA", at positions 524 to 776 of the family's 1533-position model. The record is from RNAcentral.